Molecule: ribosomal RNA, 184 nt
Filed under: Amia calva (bowfin)
Lineage: Eukaryota; Metazoa; Chordata; Actinopteri; Amiiformes; Amiidae
Description: partial ribosomal RNA
Source: RNAcentral
UAAAACCCAAAGGACUUCGCGGUGCCCAGACCCACCUAGAGGAGCCUGUUCUAGAACCGAUAAUCCUCGUUAAACCUCACCACUCCUUGUUAAUCCGCCUAUAUACCGCCGUCGUCAGCUUACCCUGUGAAGGCUAAUAGUAAGCAGAAAGAACUGACUUAAAAACGUCAGGUCGAGGUGUAGC